Molecule: transfer RNA, 76 nt
Filed under: bacterium
Lineage: Bacteria
Description: tRNA-Lys
Rfam family: tRNA
About the family: Transfer RNA (tRNA) molecules are approximately 80 nucleotides in length. Their secondary structure includes four short double-helical elements and three loops (D, anti-codon, and T loops). Further hydrogen bonds mediate the characteristic L-shaped molecular structure. tRNAs have two regions of fundamental functional importance: the anti-codon, which is responsible for specific mRNA codon recognition, and the 3' end, to which the tRNAs corresponding amino acid is attached (by aminoacyl-tRNA synthetases). tRNAs cope with the degeneracy of the genetic code in two manners: having more than one tRNA (with a specific anti-codon) for a particular amino acid; and 'wobble' base-pairing, i.e. permitting non-standard base-pairing at the 3rd anti-codon position.
Source: RNAcentral
GGGUCGUUAAUUCAGUUGGAAGAAUACUGCUCUUUUAAAGCAGGAGUCGCGGGUUCGAGCCCUGCACGACCCACCA